AUGAACGCUGGCGGCGUGCCUAAUCCCUGCAAGUCGCGCGCACAGACGAGGAGCUUGCUCCUCUGACGUUAGCGGCGGACGGGUGAGUAACACGUGGAUAACCUACCUAUAAGACUGGGAUAACUUCGGGAAACCGGAGCUAAUACCGGAUAAUAUAUUGAACCGCAUGGUUCAAUAGUGAAAGACGGUUUUGCUGUCACUUAUAGAUGGAUCCGCGCCGCAUUAGCUAGUUGGUAAGGUAACGGCUUACCAAGGCAACGAUGCGUAGCCGACCUGAGAGGGUGAUCGGCCACACUGGAACUGAGACACGGUCCAGACUCCUACGGGAGGCAGCAGUAGGGAAUCUUCCGCAAUGGGCGAAAGCCUGACGGAGCAACGCCGCGUGAGUGAUGAAGGUCUUCGGAUCGUAAAACUCUGUUAUUAGGGAAGAACAAAUGUGUAAGUAACUAUGCACGUCUUGACGGUACCUAAUCAGAAAGCCACGGCUAACUACGUG
Molecule: ribosomal RNA, 496 nt
Filed under: uncultured bacterium
Lineage: Bacteria
Description: partial 16S ribosomal RNA
Rfam family: Bacterial small subunit ribosomal RNA
Source: RNAcentral